GAGAACCUAUUAUGUGACAGUCCCUGGGCUGAGUGUCACAAGCAUUAUGUCAUUUAAUUCUUUUGGAUUUUUGUUUGAGACAGGAUCUCUCUCUGUCACCCAGGCUGGAGUGCAGCGGUGCAAUCAAGGCUCACUGCAGCCUCAGCCUCCUAGGUUCAAGUGAUCCUUCCACUUUAGCCUCCCAAGUAGCUGGGACCACAGGCAUGCACCACCACGUCCAGCUUUUUUUUUUUUUUUCUGGUAGAGAUGGGGUCUUCCUGUGUUGCCCAGGUUGGUCUGGAACUCCUGGGCUCCCACCUUCACCUCCCAAAUUGCUGGGAUUAUAGGCAUGAGCCAUCACACCCAGCCUUUUGGUUUUCUUUGGGGUUUUGUGUGUGCGUGUGUGUGUGUGUAUGUGUGUUUACUAUGUCAUUGAAUUAUUUCAGCAAGCCUAUGGGAUGGCUUCCAUGUUCCUAUUUAACAGAUGAGGAAAUGGAGACUCAGUCACUUGCCCAGGUGCACCCAGCACGCAGGUUGCUUUGUUCACAGCUAUAUCCCCAAUGCCCAGAAUAAUACUCAACAUAUAAUGGAGGCUUUGUAGGAAGAAUGAAUGAAUGAAUGGCAGAGCUGGGGUUUGAACCUAGAUCUGUUUGACUCUAUACUCUUAAGAACUCAGCUGCAUGAGUUAUGUUUAAUUAAAAUAUUUGGUGCUUUUUUUUUUUUUUUUUGCUACAAAAUCUCACUCUGUCACCCAGGCUGGAGGUGCAGUCUUGGCUCACUGCAACCUCCGCCUCCCAGGUUCAAGCAAUUCUCCUGCCUCAGCCUCCCGAGUAGCUGGGAUUACAGGCAUGCACCACCAUGCCUGGCUAAUUUUUGUAUUUUUAGUAGAGGCAGGGUUUCACAAUGUUGGCGAGGCUAGUCUAGAACUCCUAACCUCAAGUGAUCCACCUGCCUCAGCCUCCCAAAGUGCUGGGAUUACAGGCCUGAGCCACCACACCUGGCCAUUUAGUGUUAUUUUAACAAAUACCUAAUAUUAAUGGUGGCUUAAGCAAGAUGAUGUUUUAUUGCUUUUUCAUUUAAAAGUCAGGGGCAGUUUUCCAGAGCUGAUAGGAUGGUUUUAUAAACAAGGGGCCCUGUUUCCUUCUCUCUUUUUGCACCAACAUUUUCAACGCAUAACCUGCAUCUCUUGGGCCGUAGUGGCUGCUUCAGCUUCCACCAUCACAUCUGCACUGCAGCCAGCUGGAACAGAAGAGGAAAGGUAGAGCCUGUCCCAGCCCACUAAGGGCAUAACCUGGAAGUUGCCCGCAUUUCUUCUGCUCACAUCCUCAUUGGCCAGAACUUGGUCAUGUGGUCAUUCCUCACUGCAAAGGAGGCUGGGAAACGUAGUUUUUAUGCUGAAGGCUACAUUCUAGGGAACACUGUGGCUCUUACCAUAAGAGAAAGAAAAGGAACCUGGGUACAGCAAGGUAGCUCGCAGUCUCUGAUGUGUGUUUGUGUGCAGUACCUGAGGAAUUUGGCUCUGAUGUGGGGACUUGAUGAGGAGCCUGGUCAUCGAGGGAGUAACAAAUUGCCAGUGGGGACUGGGGGCCCUUAUCUGAGACUUCAGUGUGACAGCCUUCUGCCCCUCCUGUCCCCCACCAGGAUGCCAAGGAUGGGCGCUUGUUCAAUGAGCAGAACUUCUUCCAGCGGGCCGCCAAGCCUCUGCAAGGUACCUGACGGGGAACUGGGCAAGGAGGGGAGAGUGAGGGGGGCACCAACUUGGUCACAGCACCUGACUUCUACCUGCAGGCAUGAAAAGGGUGGGCUUAGAUUAAAGGCCCAGGUUUGCUCCCAUCUGUGUCCAUAACCUGACUCCUGUGACCCCUCAGGCCUCAGUGUGUGUUGUGACUGGCUCACACCAGCUCUUGGAAGCCAGGUAUUAAAUUUUCAGGCUGGGCGUGGGUUGACGCCUAUACUCCCAGCACUUUGGGAGGCUCAGGUGGGCAGAUCACUUGAGGCCAGGAGUUUGAGACCAUCCUGGGCAAUGUGGCAAAACCUUAUCUCUACUGAAAAUACAAAAAUUAGCCGGGUGUAAUGGCAUGCGCCUGUGAUCCCAGCUACUCAAGAGGCUGAGCUGAGAGAAUUGCUUGAGCCCGGGAAACAGAGGUUGCAGUGAGCUGUGAUUGUGCCACUGCACUCCAGCCUGGGCAACAGAGCCAGACCCUGUCUCC
RNAcentral lists this small RNA (2189 nucleotides) under Pan troglodytes (chimpanzee). RNAcentral's name for it is "retained intron". Lineage: Eukaryota; Metazoa; Chordata; Mammalia; Primates; Hominidae. The record is from RNAcentral.